CCUACGGGAGGCAGCAGUGGGGAAUUUUGGACAAUGGACGAAAGUCUGAUCCAGCCAUGCCGCGUGCGGGAAGAAGGCCUUCGGGUUGUAAACCGCUUUUGUCAGGGAAGAAAUCCUUUGAGUUAAUACCUCGGGGGGAUGACGGUACCUGAAGAAUAAGCACCGGCUAACUACGUGCCAGCAGCCGCGGUAAUACGUAGGGUGCAAGCGUUAAUCGGAAUUACUGGGCGUAAAGCGUGCGCAGGCGGUUAUAUAAGACAGAGGUGAAAUCCCCGGGCUCAACCUGGGAACUGCCUUUGUGACUGUAUAGCUUGAGUGCGGCAGAGGGGGAUGGAAUUCCGCGUGUAGCAGUGAAAUGCGUAGAUAUGCGGAGGAACACCGAUGGCGAAGGCAAUCCCCUGGGCCUGCACUGACGCUCAUGCACGAAAGCGUGGGGAGCAAACAGGAUUAGAUACCCUGGUAGUCCACGCCCUAAACGAUGUCAACUGGUUGUUGGGAAGGUUCCUUCUCAGUAACGUAGCUAACGCGUGAAGUUGACCGCCUGGGGAGGUACGGCCGCGAGUAGAACGACAANAGAGUAGACGGCGUGAGACGCGACGACGACGACGACGGAGGAGG
RNAcentral lists this ribosomal RNA (618 nucleotides) under uncultured bacterium. RNAcentral's name for it is "bacterial SSU rRNA". The stretch from base 1 to 542 matches the Rfam family "Bacterial small subunit ribosomal RNA", at positions 338 to 873 of the family's 1533-position model. The record is from RNAcentral.